GAGCGGCGAACGGGUGAGUAAUGCUUUGGAAUCUUCCCAGUAGUGGGGAAUAACCAGUCGAAAGAUUGGCUAAUACCGCAUACGUCUAAAGGGAGAGCGGGGGCGUAAGACCUCGCGCUAUUGGAUGAGCCAAAGUCGGAUUAGCUAGUUGGUGGGGUAAUGGCCUACCAAGGCGACAAUCCGUAGCUGGUCUGAGAGGACGACCAGCCACACCGGAACUGAGACACGGUCCGGACUCCUACGGGAGGCAGCAGUGGGGAAUAUUGGACAAUGGGGGAAACCCUGAUCCAGCGACGCCGCGUGUGUGAAGAAGGCCUGCGGGUUGUAAAGCACUUUUAGUGGGGACAAAAAGCUACGGAUUAAUACUCUGUGGUCUUGAUUUAACCCAAAGAAAAAGCACCGGCUAACUCUGUGCCAGCAGCCGCGGUAAUACAGAGGGUGCGAGCGUUAAUCGGAAUUACUGGGCGUAAAGCGCGCGUAGACGGUUUUGUAAGUCAGAUGUGAAAUCCCUGGGCUCAACCUGGGAACUGCAUUUGAAACUGCAUGGCUAGAGUAUCGAAGAAGGAAGUGGAAUUUCCGGUGUAGCGGUGAAAUGCGUAGAUAUCGGAAGGAACACCAGUGGCGAAAGCGACUUCCUGGUCGAAUAC
RNAcentral lists this ribosomal RNA (647 nucleotides) under uncultured bacterium. RNAcentral describes it as "bacterial SSU rRNA". It matches the Rfam family "Bacterial small subunit ribosomal RNA", at positions 93 to 740 of the family's 1533-position model. The record is from RNAcentral.